Maylandia zebra (zebra mbuna) is the source of this 481-nucleotide non-coding RNA. NCBI's taxonomy places the organism in Eukaryota, Metazoa, Chordata, Actinopteri, Cichliformes, Cichlidae. The record is from RefSeq and is a predicted model, not a curated record.
UUGGACUGUGGCAGGAAGCCGGACUACAAGGAAAGAACCCACGCAAACACAGGAAGAACAUGCAAACUCCACACAGAGCGACGGUAGAGCUGAACUCAAGACCUUCUUCCUGUGUGGUAACGGUGCUAACCACUGUGCCGCCCGCGUAAGAGGAGAGCCACUGAGGGAACGCCUUCCGCCCUCCGACGCCUCCACCGUGACCUCCACUUCUGAGAGGAAUUGCCCACAGAUCAAGCAUGGAGUGUGCCUGAAUGGACAUACAGAACUCCAAGGUUCGGCCCAGUGUUGAGGGUUUUCCCAAAGGAGAGGGCCCGGCGGGCGGUGCCUCACAGCCCUCUGCCUCUGGGAGUGGCCCCUUUCUACUAAGGAGGCAAGAGGUGGCCAGGAGUCUGUCAGCGAGUUCUGCAUGUCCUGGUGACCCUCCACCUGUUUCACAGGUCGUUGGACUGUGGCAGGAAGCCGGACUACAAGGAAAGAACCC